AUCUAGGUUGGGCGGAUGAUUGACUUACAAACCCCGCCAGGUCGGGAACGAAGCAACGGUAGUAUGAACGGUUAUUGCGCUUUAAUCUAGGUCAC
This 95-nucleotide signal recognition particle RNA is filed under the name Oligoflexia bacterium. RNAcentral describes it as "signal recognition particle sRNA small type". It matches the Rfam family "Bacterial small signal recognition particle RNA". From Rfam's summary of the family: The signal recognition particle (SRP) is a universally conserved ribonucleoprotein involved in the co-translational targeting of proteins to membranes. Archaeal SRP consists of a 7S RNA and homologues of the eukaryotic SRP19 and SRP54 proteins. Lineage: Bacteria; Pseudomonadati; Bdellovibrionota; Oligoflexia. The record is from RNAcentral.